GACAGAGGGUGCAAACGUUGUUCGGAAUUACUGGGCGUAAAGCGCGUGUAGGCUGCCCCGCAAGUCGGAUGUGAAAGCCCUGGGCUCAACCUAGGAAGUGCAUUCGAAACUGCGGGGCUGGAGUCCUGGAGAGGAAGGCGGAAUUCUCGGUGUAGAGGUGAAAUUCGUAGAUAUCGAGAGGAACACCGGUGGCGAAGGCGGCGACCUGGGUAGAUACUGACGCUGAGGUGCGAAAGCGUGGGGAGCAAACAGG
This 253-nucleotide ribosomal RNA is filed under the name uncultured bacterium. RNAcentral's name for it is "partial 16S ribosomal RNA". It matches the Rfam family "Bacterial small subunit ribosomal RNA", at positions 524 to 776 of the family's 1533-position model. The record is from RNAcentral.